AGGUGUUUUAAAAUAGUCUGUCAGAAAGCCACAAGACCAUCUGGGCCGCCGGAGCAAGCCAAGAACGAUCAUCUACAACAAUAGACUGUCAUAAGACAAUCAAGGCCGUUAAUCACACUCUGAUCAAGUGGGUUAUCACAGAGGUACGAUUCUAUAGAACAGAUCCUGUUCAAGUAAGGUCGUGCUAAGAAAUAUAAUCUCUGUAGUUUAUAUACCAAAAUGCAGUGAUUUCUGUUCAGAGAUGUGGUAUUAAUAUGCUGCUCUGCUGCUGCUAUUCUGGGCGAGACACCAUCAACAUAUAGGCUUUGAAUGAUAAGCAUACAUUCCGAAGAAGAAUCUGUACUGAAACAUCGAGAAUCAAGAACCAAAGGGUUCGUAUGAAAAAGUUGCGAGCUAAAUGGCGGAACUAGGAUUGAAACUUGGGAACAUGUUGUGUGACAACUGAGUUGCCCCUGAAUCAAUUAGGAUAAUCUAUUAUCUUAGCCACUGUCGCAAGACAAUGAAUGAAGGCAUCACUAUGUGCGAGUGUCUGUACAUAAUUUAGUGUAUGAUCACAAAUAAUCUCGAAACUGUUCGGUCAUAAGGGACAAAAAACUGUUGUUGGUUACCAAAACUGCUUGCAUAUACAACUCCAUUGUGACCCCUCAUUGCGAUUAAGAAUCGCAGAGCAACCAUCAACUAGUUCUCCGAACUCAGAAUCAUGCAAUGGCAUUUGCAACCCUGCUUGACAGAUGAGAAAGCAUACAAUCAUUCACAAGCAGAUUACUCUUGCAGAAAUUUGUUCUGGAGAUCCAAUGUAAGCUAAUGUCUUAGUGCAACGCCAAUGUUCUAGAGAUCGAAUUACAGAACAACAUCAAAUAUUGAACUGGAAAUUGGUGGGGUGUGCCAGGCCAAUGCUACAGUGCAAAGCAAAGGCGACACCUUGAGGAUUCCCUGCAGCAAGCUACAGAUGCAGAAACCUCCCCCUGAAAAAAUAAGAUUAAUAUCGUUGUGAAUCGAUGAUCCACAUAUCAGAUAUUAAACUGAUAAGAACAGAUACUACACUUGAUCUUAGCCAAAAGGCCGAGAAAGGUAUGGUUUGUAUACAGACUUGAACAUUCUUUUUAUACUGUUGUUCUCAGCUUCACAGUGUGUCCUCUUUAGUCUUUAGCAGUGAGGUAUUCAACUAUUUUGAACUUGCAGCUAAGUAGUGUACAGCUCAGGAGUCAAAAGAAACGAGACAAUUCAUGUUAGUUGACAAUCAAAUGAAACAGUAAACUUAUCAAUAUGAUUCAAUGAGAUUAACAGCUGGACAAAAUAAAUAAACAAGAACUGAAUGGAACAAGGCUGUGAUCGUGAAACUGAAUUCACUGCCUUUGAAGCUAUUUCGUCUCUACCGAAGGUAAUCACAGAAGUUGGAACACUAUUUUAUCAGCAAUGGAAUAGCGCUUACACGGUAUUCUUUAGUAAAAGUGAAAUUAUAGUUCGCUAUGUACUCACUGCAAGACUGCCCAGUGUGACCAAGGCAGGAGUCCUCUUGCUAGGCGAGCAAUGCAGUAUCAUGCGAAUGACUCCUUUAGCCAACAGUCUUCAUUUACAGACGAGUCUCAAGUGUGUCGUCCCCGAAUCUCCAUCUAAAAAAAAUUAAAAUUAAUAUCUUUGUGGAUCAAUGAUCCACAUAUCAAAUAUUAAUCCGAUAAGAACAUAUACUGCCACACCCUCGGAGCAAGUUUUAACAAACUAUUCCCGUACAUGACCGAUAUAUCAUCAUAGUAUAUUGGACAAAGGAAUCAUAUACUACAAUAAUAUCAAGCACAGUCGCCAUUAAAAUUAUAUACAUCUAAUAUUAAAAGUGCAUGAACUAGAAAGAAAGAAUGCUCCAACUCUGUGAAAUCAAAUGUACUAGCAACCAAAACAAACCAAAUGUGUAAACUGAACUAUUAAUCUCCGUCGUCGAAACCUUGGAAACUCCUCCCUUCCAUUCCACUUUCGCCGUCGCCGACCCUAUGUCGUACACCUUCUUCUGGUCUGGGUAGAACAGCCUGUAAUUCCUCUCCGAUAUGGGGCCCGGCUUUUCAUUCUCGUUGAACAGCGCAAACAGAAAAACGUUCAACGGCUCUUCUGGCUUCAACGGCGUCUCGUUCCCGGUCAAAACCCUGCUGACUACAUUACCGUUGUACGCCUUUGCAUUCUCAUGACCCGCUCUGAUCUCAUUUUCGUCACCGAUCGACGGUCAUCAACUUUCAGAUUACAGUCCCUCGUGUAGAUCAAGUUACACGAACCAGUUACAUGCCACAAGAAUAUCAGAUAGAAUGAACAGACUUUUCUCACCUAAACAACCAGGCCUUAUGGUCCAAAACACGCAGAGUAUGGCACAAACUUCAUCGAAUUCGACACUGUACUACUCAGACUCCGGUUCGUUACAUAAACCAAAACAAAAGGAAGGACAAAAAGAGAGGGAGUUAGUCUGUCAGAAAGACACAAGACCAUCCAGGCUGCCGGAGCAAGCCAAGAACAAUCAUCCAAUGCAAACAACACUCGCAGAGAAUGCCACGAAGAAACUUCAUCGUGCAGCGAGAUCUGAGAAAGCCAUGAACUAAGUAAAUGGUGAGACUGCCAGUAAAAUGAAGCAGAAAAAAGAGUGAAGCAGAAAAAAGAGGGUUUAGUAGUCUGUCAGAAAGCCACAAGACCAUCCAGGCUGCCGGAGCAAGCCAAGAACGAUCAUCUACAGCCAUGGAUCAUCCGAGGACAAUCAAGGAAGAUAAGGCCGUUAAUCACGCUCUGAUCAAGUGGCCAUUAAUCAUCCACCAGACUUGAGUUCUUGUCUCCUUAGUGCUAAAGGACACAGAGGUACGAUCCUAUAGAACAGAUCCUGUUCAAGUAAGGUC
This 2867-nucleotide long non-coding RNA is filed under the name Linum usitatissimum (flax). Its description in RNAcentral is "long non-coding RNA (LUSI_LNC003036)". Lineage: Eukaryota; Viridiplantae; Streptophyta; Magnoliopsida; Malpighiales; Linaceae. The record is from RNAcentral.